RNAcentral lists this ribosomal RNA (301 nucleotides) under uncultured bacterium. RNAcentral describes it as "partial 16S ribosomal RNA". It matches the Rfam family "Bacterial small subunit ribosomal RNA", at positions 509 to 809 of the family's 1533-position model. The record is from RNAcentral.
CAGCAGCCGCGGGAAAACGUAGGGUGCAAGCGUUAAUCGGAAUUACUGGGCGUAAAGCGUGCGCAGGCGGUUAUAUAAGACAGAUGUGAAAUCCCCGGGCUCAACCUGGGAACUGCAUUUGUGACUGUAUAGCUAGAGUACGGCAGAGGGGGAUGGAAUUCCGCGUGUAGCAGUGAAAUGCGUAGAUAUGCGGAGGAACACCGAUGGCGAAGGCAAUCCCCUGGGCCUGUACUGACGCUCAUGCACGAAAGCGUGGGGAGCAAACAGGAUUAGAUACCCCCGUAGUCCCUGUCUCUUAUAA